CAGGCUGAAAUGGGUGAAGCACCUUUUCCCUCCAGCUGUGGGGUGCCUGAACUCCGCUUCUUCCAUUCCCUCCUUGCCUUCUGGUGUGCAUUUGUGGGCAGUGGCUCUGCCGUGACAGUGACCCAGACUCCACCCUAUGUCAAAGAGUUGCCGGGGAUAGAUGUUUCUUUCAACUGUUCUGUUGCUGAUAACAGAAACUAUAAUUUCUACUGGUAUCGCCAAGUGCCUGGAAAAACAGAGCUAGAAGCCCUUGGGUACCUCACCUAUUUCGGUACAAACCUUGAAGACAGCCCAGAGAAGUGGACAAAGCGGCUGAAAGCAAAGUGGGAAGCAGGAAAGAAGAAAAUGAAUUUGGAUCUGACAGAUCUUCAGCCUGGUGACACGGGCUUCUAUCUCUGUGCUGCAAAGGACACGGUGAAUGAGGGAAGAACUGGGACUGAUAUUUGA
Molecule: non-coding RNA, 447 nt
Organism: Python bivittatus (Burmese python)
Lineage: Eukaryota; Metazoa; Chordata; Lepidosauria; Squamata; Pythonidae
Source: the annotation of a RefSeq genome assembly